AGGAGGAGAAGACGAAGGAAGAGCAGGCUGAGAUGAUGGUUUUGACUGAGAAGCUUAAUGCUGACCUGGAGCUGUUCUGCAAGAUGGCUAAAGAGAAGAAAGAUCAUUUCCAAACUGCAAAGAUGACUUGGAAACAGUUGGAGGAGGAGCGAGCCCGCUUCAGAGAGAAGCAGGGGUGUUUUCAAAGAGAAAUGAAAGAGCUU
Long non-coding RNA from Euleptes europaea (tarantolino), 203 nucleotides. RefSeq lists it as uncharacterized. The transcript has 3 exons. The record is from RefSeq and is a predicted model, not a curated record. Lineage: Eukaryota; Metazoa; Chordata; Lepidosauria; Squamata; Sphaerodactylidae.